RNAcentral lists this ribosomal RNA (253 nucleotides) under uncultured bacterium. RNAcentral describes it as "partial 16S ribosomal RNA". It matches the Rfam family "Bacterial small subunit ribosomal RNA", at positions 524 to 776 of the family's 1533-position model. The record is from RNAcentral.
UACGUAGGUGGCAAGCGUUGUCCGGAUUUACUGGGUGUAAAGGGCGUGUAGCCGGGUUGACAAGUCAGAUGUGAAAUCCUGCGGCUUAACCGCAGAACUGCAUUUGAAACUGUUGAUCUUGAGUACUGGAGAGGCAGACGGAAUUCCUAGUGUAGCGGUGAAAUGCGUAGAUAUUAGGAGGAACACCAGUGGCGAAGGCGGUCUGCUGGUCAGCAACUGACGGUGAGGCGCGAAAGCGUGGGGAGCAAACAGG